CAUCCCAAAUUCCCCCCCGUCCCUUCCCCGCGGGUCGCCGCCGGCCGCAGGGGUCGCGGUGGGGUUUGGGGGCCGCGGUGGAUGAGGAGAUGGUGGCCAUGGUGGAGGCGGAGUUGGGGCGGAUGCUGGAGGGUUCCGGGCGGAGCGACCUCGUGUGGAGCUCCAACCCCUGCGGGCACGGGCAGUUGGAUUUCUUCGCGUUGUGAUUGGGGGGGAAAGGGUUUCCCGUCCACUUUUGGGAGAUUUUCCUGCCCCAAUCCCGAAGUUUUUCCCGAGGUUUUGUUGCCGCGUCCGGAGGGGAAAUUCUGGAACGUCGGAAUUGCCGCGGGACGGGAUUUCAUGAUGGAAUAAAUGUUAAUUAAUGAUUCA
Long non-coding RNA from Melospiza melodia melodia, 369 nucleotides. RefSeq lists it as uncharacterized. NCBI's taxonomy places the organism in Eukaryota, Metazoa, Chordata, Aves, Passeriformes, Passerellidae. The record is from RefSeq and is a predicted model, not a curated record. The transcript has 2 exons.